Long non-coding RNA from Daphnia pulex (common water flea), 1009 nucleotides. RefSeq lists it as uncharacterized. The record is from RefSeq and is a predicted model, not a curated record. NCBI's taxonomy places the organism in Eukaryota, Metazoa, Arthropoda, Branchiopoda, Diplostraca, Daphniidae. The transcript is spliced from 6 exons.
AAUGCUGACAUUCCACAAUCGUCCUAAGUCAACUCAACUUGUUCAAAUUAUUUUCCCUGACAUUCGUCAUAAAAAUGAUAAUAUAGCCUACAAUUUAUACUUGGUAAUUCCAUCUGAUGAGGUGACCUGAAACUGUUCCCAAAAUGUCGUCUGUUGCUGCACGUACCCUACCGGCUUUGCGUUUCGUCACAUGUAGAAAUACUUCACAACCGUAAAAAUGAUUAUGUUGGUGUAACCCUAAGUAUGGUGAAGUCUGAGCUUCUUCAUUGCAGUCCAACCCGCUGUGCAGUGUGAUUUGUUGCAGCCAGCUGGCAAAAGGUGUUCCUCUUGCAGGCCUGCAACCUGUACCGUUUGUAGCUUUCGUCACAUGCAGAAACACUUCCAAACAAUUAAAAGAUUAACAGCCUCUUAAGGUCUGAGCCUUUUUGUUGCAGUCCAAUGUGUACAUGAAUUUUGUGCAGCCAGCUAGUGAAUGGUGAGCUGUUGCGUGCAGACUGUGGUGCUGGUGUCGUUCGUUCAUUUAACUAUGGACCGUUUAGUCGUUCGUUUAUCGUAAGAAAUCUGUCACUUGUCGCAGAUUUCCAUGGUCAGUUUUAUGUUUGAGCUGUUUAUGGUGUUGCUGUCAUUUUCCAGUUGGGAGAUGCGCUGAAAUGGAACUUGUGCAGACUUGCAGUUGAACAUCAUACUUUAAUGUGCCAUUUGCCUAUGUUGGUGUCCAUGCAGUAUAUACAGUGAUGAACUGUUGUGCAAAAUAGUCGAUGUUACCUGCUGGCUGUCGCGCUUAUUUUAUCGGCAGCAUUUUGUCGAUGUCAUCUCUUGCUAUCUGUACCGACGUUGAGUUGAUUCGUUUGCCGCCUUUCCUUAGACUUGAUCCACCGGUGAAACUCAGAAGACGUUGCUGAAAUUCAAGAUUGAACAAUAAAUUAUGUUUAUAAAUUACAAGUGCAUAUCUGGGCUCCCUUCUUCACUGGCCCCGUUUCCCUAAAUAACAACUAACCAACGCCCGCCG